Alligator mississippiensis (American alligator) is the source of this 3054-nucleotide long non-coding RNA. RefSeq lists it as uncharacterized. The transcript is spliced from 2 exons. The record is from RefSeq and is a predicted model, not a curated record. NCBI's taxonomy places the organism in Eukaryota, Metazoa, Chordata, Crocodylia, Alligatoridae.
AGGAAGGAAGGAAGGAGUUUUUGCCUGUUGAAGCUAUCUGAGAGUUGAUGUUACCUGUUCUGCUACCUAGGUGCUCCAAGACUGCAGGGAGUCUCCAGCCCCCAUCCAGAAACCUGGGACAACUGGAUUUAAACUGGAUGAACAAACUCCCUUGCAAGCAAUGUAUCAACAAAAGCCAGGUUCCUUACCAGACAAAGGGGAAAGUUACUCUGGGAUGCUAAAAUACAGCUGCAGCAUUCCAGCCACACUUUCUGCUUUCAGACAUUAAUGCUGAGCACUGAGAAGAACCCCAGAUGUGGAAAGAAGUUUCACCAAACAACUGAAUUCAUAGUCAGUUGCAGGAGAAUCGCUGCAUGUUUUGCCAGGUUGGGGAUGUGGUCUUCAACAGCUAUCCAGAACUGCAUAGGAUCCUCAGAAUCUGCAAACCCAUCUUUCACAGUCCCUAAAUACACUGGCCUUUCCAUAUUGCACUUGCUGGGCAGCUGAUUUCAGCAUUUCAUAAUCUGUACAAACAAAACCAACUUCUUCAGGAUCCAGUUCUUGAACAGUGCAGAGAAAAUCAAGUACUGGCUGCUUACUCUUCAUGCUGUACUGUUUGCUUAUCAGCAGCACUGAGCAGCUGUGGAUCUUUUCACACUUCAGCUGCUAAGACAAGAUGCCCCAACCAUGCAAUUAAAUCCACAACAGUGUUGUACACUUCAUGCACUUGGCAUUUCUGGGACUCUAAAAAGUCCAGUGGUGUCACCAGGUGUCCACAGUUCUCUGCAACAUACUUCACAUCAUUGUGCAGGUCUGCUCCUGUGAACAGGCUGGCCAGUUCCUGCAGAAGAGCUGUAUCCCCUUGUUCUGUUUGUUCAAGUUUCACAAACCCAUGGGAGAGCUAGGAGUACUGUGCAUGGUACUUGAUGCUAUUGAACUACGUGUCCCUCCGGUCACAGCUGGUUCUGGUGGAUGUGCUGGUGAAUCAACAGUCUGAUACUCCAGGUACUUUAAGAGCCAUGCACGAUGAGCUGGAGCUUUUACUAAAAGGGACUUCAUUAAAGUUACAAAGCGAUUCACUUACUUGAAGGUCUCUCACCAAGUAGUUCCUGCCAAAGCAACUAUGUUAGCAUAGCAAUGAAUAUGUACACAGUUUGACCACAGACCACAAAGUACAUUGUUCCAAACCUUCACCACGUAGUGCACAUUGUCCGUUACAAAUGCUAAUAUUCGCUCUAGUGGGACAGCAAAUUCCAUCAGACAAGAAAUCCAGGCUUGUGCAAUGGUGGCAUGCUUAAAUUUCCACAGGCCCACUGGCUUUACUAGCUGUGGUGCGGGAAUGUUCGGAUGGUUAGGAGGCUGUACCUCGAGCACCUGAAACAAAAUGUCGAGAACUGGUCUGUUCUGGAAGUCAGUUGUUUCAUCAGCUAUCGUGGCAAUGAAGUUUCCCCCAAAAUCUUUAAGAAGGCACUGUUUUUUCAUGUUCAAAAAGAGCUGGUAGGUGGGAAUACAAUUGGACUGACUUGGGAAUGGCACCACUUCCAUUAAUGUACUUGCUCAAAAAAUCCCUGAUGACAGGUACAUCCAUUUUAUGCAGAGGAAUGUCUGCUUUUAAACAUAUUCAAAUAAAAUCCGAAGUGAUGGUGUCACGUGGGCUUUGGCAGCUACAGAACACUUGAAUGCUGCAGUCACAGCACUUUGGUUCUUUGAUGGCCCUCCUUUUUCUGUAUCUGCUCUUCAUCUCUUUUCAUCCUGUUUAUGCUUAGCACUUUGCAUGUGUUUCAUAAUCAUCUGCCUUUGAAUGUGAUCUACAGCCUUAUUGCAUGUAGUGCAGAACAGCACAGUGCCGUCAGUGUGAAACUUAUCCUCAGCAACACGGUCCUUAGGUGCGAGUUUCACAGUCUUUAGCAUCUUUUCUGGACUAGAAUCCGAUAGUUGGAGACUGAAGUAAAAUUUGAGAUGCAUCAAACACACAAGCCCUUAUACGUAGGGACUAACUCAAUUCGUAGUUGUGCUUUUCACGCUUUAAUCUUUUUUUUUUUUUUUAUACUUAUUUCCAUGAAAGAAAGCAAGCGAACCCUGCAUUUUUGUUGGUGCUGGGAAAACAAAAAGGACUCCCUCAUUCUAAACAGAAAAGGUAGGAAGGCUUUGCCACCUACAGCAAAAUGUGGCAAGCUCUAAUGUAGCCUUGAAAUGCAGGGGCAGGGGUCUGGAGGCAGCACAAUGGAGGGGUGGGGGCGGGGAGGACUGCCAGGUGCCGGCAGGCACUGCCUGUGGGGCUUGGCCCAGUGCAGCCAGUCAGCAGCAGCUGCUGUGAGACUCCAAGCUGAGGCCAUUGCCCCCACUGCAGAGGAAGCAACCCCCCAUGGUCUGUACCAGUCUGACCAGGGCAAGUUCAUUCCUGACCCACAGCUUCAGUCCGACUCUGAGCCAGAUGGGCAAGACCCUGUAGCUAGGACCAUCCAGGGUUGAGUGGCAGGAGGAGUAUUGGCACAUCCCUGAAUGGUGGCAGACCAACCUCUUCUUGAGCACCUCCAGUGCAGGAGAGUUCACAGCUUUUAUGGGUGUCUGUUCCAUUGCCCCCUGCUUCAACUGGGAGUCAAACUGGAACUGAACCAAAACCGAAGAACUGGUUAGAACUGGUGUUUGAUUUGGCCCUGAACCAUCAACAUUUGCCCUGUCCUACUGAACCACAGUGGGAAACAAGCCACCAAAAAUCACUGGGGUCACCAGUUAACCUUGUCUCACUGGUUAGAACAGGGUUACUGGUUAAAUGGAGGUCAGUAGUUACCCCGCAAGGCAGGUUGAAGUGACCAAUUCAGUCUUCACUAAAACUGCCAAUAACAAUUUAUUUAAACUAUAAAAACACUGGCUCACAUGAAAACACACACAGAUAAAAUGAUAUACUCACUGUUACCACAAAGAUUCAUCUCACUGCUCUACUGCAAAUCCUGGGAUUUUCUGAUUUUGCAAUUUCUAUCAUACUUCUCUUUCACUCCUUUAGUCUAUAUGCUUUACAUACAUUUAACUCCAUUCUCUGUUAACAGCUGUAAAUAAAUAGUACUGUUUUCUUAG